CCUACGGGGGACAGCAGUGAGGAAUAUUGGUCAAUGGGCGGGAGCCUGAACCAGCCAAGUCGCGUGAGGGAAGACGGUCCUAUGGAUUGUAAACCUCUUUAGGCGGGGAGCAAUGCCGGGCACGCGUGCCCGGAGGGAGAGUACCCGCAGAAUAAGCAUCGGCUAACUCCGUGCCAGCAGCCGCGGUAAUACGGAGGAUGCGAGCGUUAUCCGGAUUUAUUGGGUUUAAAGGGUGCGUAGGCGGAUUUUUAAGUCAGCGGUAAAAUGUCCGGGCUCAACCCGGGCCGGCCGUUGAAACUGGGGAGCUUGAGUGGGCGAGAAGUAUGCGGAAUGCGUGGUGUAGCGGUGAAAUGCAUAGAUAUCACGCAGAACUCCGAUUGCGAAGGCAGCAUACCGGCGCCCGACUGACGCUGAGGCACGAAAGCGUGGGGAUCGAACAGGAUUAGAUACCCGGGUAGUC
RNAcentral lists this ribosomal RNA (460 nucleotides) under uncultured bacterium. Its description in RNAcentral is "partial 16S ribosomal RNA". It matches the Rfam family "Bacterial small subunit ribosomal RNA", at positions 338 to 795 of the family's 1533-position model. The record is from RNAcentral.